Molecule: ribosomal RNA, 313 nt
Filed under: uncultured bacterium
Lineage: Bacteria
Description: bacterial SSU rRNA
Rfam family: Bacterial small subunit ribosomal RNA
Source: RNAcentral
UGGGGAAUAUUGCGCAAUGGGGGAAACCCUGACGCAGCGACGCCGCGUGAGCGAUGAAGGCCUUGGGGUUGUAAAGCUCUGUUUUAAGGGACGAAUGUUACGGGGAGUAAUAUACCCUGUAAAUGACGGUCCCUUAAGAGGAAGCCCCGUCUAACUACGCGCCAGCAGCCGCGGUAAGACGUAGGGCGCGAGCGUUGUCCGGAAUUACUGGGCGUAAAGAGCACGUAGGCGGGAACUCAAGUCAGGUGUGAAAGACCGGGGAUCGACGUCGAGGGUGCGCUUGAGACUGGGUUUCGUGAGGGCAGGAGAGGAA